Molecule: ribosomal RNA, 494 nt
Filed under: uncultured bacterium
Lineage: Bacteria
Description: partial 16S ribosomal RNA
Rfam family: Bacterial small subunit ribosomal RNA
Source: RNAcentral
GACGAACGCUGGCGGCGUGCUUAACACAUGCAAGUCGAACGGAAAGGCCUGCUUUCCCUUGUGGAUUGCGGGUCCUCGAGUGGCGAACGGGUGAGUAACUCGUGAGUGAUCUGCCCCCAACUUGGGUAUAAGCCUGGGAAACUGGGUCUAAUUCCCGAUAGGACUGCAGGGUGGUGCCUGUGGUGGAAAACGAUUUUCUAGUGGUUGGGGAUGAGCUCGCGGCCUAUCAGCUUGUUGGUGGGGUAAUGGCCGACCAAGGCGGCGACGGGUAGCCGGCCUGAGAUGGGGGACGAUCGAAUUGAGACUCGGAUACGACCCAGACGCGAACGAGAAGCAGGAGAUGGGAAUAAUGGAGAGUGAGCGGGAGCCAGAAGCAGCGAGGGCGCGUGGGAGAUGACGGGCUUGGGGAUGUAAACUCCUUGGGACCGAGAGGAAGCGACCUGGUUGGAAGGGUGGUGACGGUAGUGGAAGAAGAAGCACCGGCUAACUACGUG